Molecule: ribosomal RNA, 1372 nt
Filed under: uncultured bacterium
Lineage: Bacteria
Description: bacterial SSU rRNA
Rfam family: Bacterial small subunit ribosomal RNA
Source: RNAcentral
GAUGAACGCUGGCGGCGUGCCUAAUACAUGCAAGUCGAGCGAACGGACGAGAAGCUUGCUUCUCUGAUGUUAGCGGCGGACGGGUGAGUAACACGUGGAUAACCUACCUAUAAGACUGGGAUAACUUCGGGAAACCGGAGCUAAGACCGGAUAAUAUUUUGAACCGCAUGGUUCAAAAGUGAAAGACGGUCUUGCUGUCACUUAUAGAUGGAUCCGCGCUGCAUUAGCUAGUUGGUAAGGUAACGGCUUACCAAGGCAACGAUGCAUAGCCGACCUGAGAGGGUGAUCGGCCACACUGGAACUGAGACACGGUCCAGACUCCUACGGGAGGCAGCAGUAGGGAAUCUUCCGCAAUGGGCGAAAGCCUGACGGAGCAACGCCGCGUGAGUGAUGAAGGUCUUCGGAUCGUAAAACUCUGUUAUUAGGGAAGAACAUAUGUGUAAGUAACUGUGCACAUCUUGACGGUACCUAAUCAGAAAGCCACGGCUAACUACGUGCCAGCAGCCGCGGUAAUACGUAGGUGGCAAGCGUUAUCCGGAAUUAUUGGGCGUAAAGCGCGCGUAGGCGGUUUUUUAAGUCUGAUGUGAAAGCCCACGGCUCAACCGUGGAGGGUCAUUGGAAACUGGAAAACUUGAGUGCAGAAGAGGAAAGUGGAAUUCCAUGUGUAGCGGUGAAAUGCGCAGAGAUAUGGAGGAACACCAGUGGCGAAGGCGACUUUCUGGUCUGUAACUGACGCUGAUGUGCGAAAGCGUGGGGAUCAAACAGGAUUAGAUACCCUGGUAGUCCACGCCGUAAACGAUGAGUGCUAAGUGUUAGGGGGUUUCCGCCCCUUAGUGCUGCAGCUAACGCAUUAAGCACUCCGCCUGGGGAGUACGACCGCAAGGUUGAAACUCAAAGGAAUUGACGGGGACCCGCACAAGCGGUGGAGCAUGUGGUUUAAUUCGAAGCAACGCGAAGAACCUUACCAAAUCUUGACAUCCUUUGACAACUCUAGAGAUAGAGCCUUCCCCUUCGGGGGACAAGGUGACAGGUGGUGCAUGGUUGUCGUCAGCUCGUGUCGUGAGAUGUUGGGUUAAGUCCCGCAACGAGCGCAACCCUUAAGCUUAGUUGCCAUCAUUAAGUUGGGCACUCUAAGUUGACUGCCGGUGACAAACCGGAGGAAGGUGGGGAUGACGUCAAAUCAUCAUGCCCCUUAUGAUUUGGGCUACACACGUGCUACAAUGGACAAUACAAAGGGCAGCGAAACCGCGAGGUCAAGCAAAUCCCAUAAAGUUGUUCUCAGUUCGGAUUGUAGUCUGCAACUCGACUACGUGAAGCUGGAAUCGCUAGUAAUCGUAGAUCAGCAUGCUACGGUGAAUACGUUCCCGGGUCU